CCAAACAAAAGACACUCUAUAAUCAGGGGAGAAGUCUUCUCUAUAUCUUUCUUAUAUGAGCAAAUUUAAUGACCUCCACCAUGUCUAAGAACAAGCAGCUAUUUCUGUAGAGAAAGAUCACCUUUGGAUAACAAUACAUGAUUUUAGGCUCUAAAAGUUAAAACGUGUUUGUAACGUUGAUAUUAUGCAGAGGUCUUGACAGAACUUAGCAGUCUCUGAGGCUACAGAGAAGUGUGAAAAAGAGCAUAGAGAUUUCAGAAGGAGGCAGAUUCAGUCAGACAUACUGAAUCCUGUUUGAUCUCAAUUCAGGCACACUCCAGAUGGAUGGAGCAGGAAAACCCUUAGUGAAACCUGCCUCUGCAGGUUGAUGGCUUGGGAGGAGAGGCAUUAUGGAAAAUGAUUAGAUGUGAGAAUCACAGCAAAGGAAGAAUGGGCAUGAAUAGUAAAUGGUAAAUGUGGGGAUGCAGUAUUGAACAGCACACUGGAGUUUUUGUCCAGAAGUUUGACUUUAGAAGAUAAGAAAUAACUGAGCGUAUUACAAGCAGGAGUUAGAGGAAGAGACUCAGUACAGAAGAGACAGGAACAAAAGUUCACCUCCAUUAGAUGGGAAAGGAUACAGAUCAAGAGCUCAGGAAAAGUAGGAGAAAGAAGCUCUAUUCCAGAAGCAGUGUGGAGCACAAAGAAUCCCUAAUCCCUGACAUUAAGAAAGAAGAAAAAUAUUCCUAGGACGAUCCUGGAGAGCAAAG
RNAcentral lists this non-coding RNA (746 nucleotides) under Pongo abelii (Sumatran orangutan). The record is from RNAcentral. Lineage: Eukaryota; Metazoa; Chordata; Mammalia; Primates; Hominidae.